This 331-nucleotide ribosomal RNA is filed under the name uncultured bacterium. RNAcentral's name for it is "bacterial SSU rRNA". It matches the Rfam family "Bacterial small subunit ribosomal RNA", at positions 29 to 385 of the family's 1533-position model. The record is from RNAcentral.
AACGAACGCUGGCGGCAGGCCUAAAACAUGCAAGUCGAGCGGGCAUAGCAAUAUGUCAGCGGCGGACGGGUGAAUAACACGUGGGAACAUGCCCUUUGGUACGGAACAACUCAGGGAAACUUGAGCUAAUACCGUAUGUGCCGGUAACGGGAAAGAUUUAUCGCCAAAGGAUUGGCCCGCGUCCGAUUAGCUAGUUGGUGAGGUAACGGCUCACCAAGGCGACGAUCGGUAGCUGGUUUGAGAGAACGAUCAGCCACACUGGGACUGAGACACGGCCCAGACUCCUACGGGAGGCAGCAGUUGGGAAUCUUGGACAAUGGGGGAAACCCGU